AGUGGGGAAUAUUGGACAAUGGGCGCAAGCCUGAUCCAGCAAUGCCGCGUGUGUGAAGAAGGCCUGCGGGUUGUAAAGCACUUUCAGUAGAGAAGAAAAGCCUGGGGUUAAUACCCCCGGGUCUUGACGUAACCUACAGAAGAAGCACCGGCUAACUCCGUGCCAGCAGCCGCGGUAAUACGGAGGGUGCGAGCGUUAAUCGGAAUUACUGGGCGUAAAGCGCGCGUAGGCGGCGAGGUCAGUCGAAUGUGAAAGCCCCGGGCUUAACCUGGGAAUUGCAUUCGAUACUGCCUGGCUAGAGUAUGGGAGAGGGAAGUGGAAUUUCCGGUGUAGCGGUGAAAUGCGUAGAUAUCGGAAGGAACACCAGUGGCGAAGGCGACUUCCUGGCCCAAUACUGACGCUGAGGUGCGAAAGCGUGGGUAGCGAACAGGAUUAGAUACCCUGGUAGUCCACGCCGUAAACGAUGAGAACUAGAUGUCGGGAGGAUUUACCUCUCGGUGUCGCAGCU
Molecule: ribosomal RNA, 508 nt
Filed under: uncultured bacterium
Lineage: Bacteria
Description: bacterial SSU rRNA
Rfam family: Bacterial small subunit ribosomal RNA
Source: RNAcentral